AGCUUAAUCAGAGUGGGAACUAGGCAUGACAAUACUAUAGAACUUCUACCCGUUGGUAUCCGCCCGAACUCGUCCAAAUUUUGAUAGGAAAAACUCAAAUUUAUUAAGUUUUAGUUUUCCCCAAUUUUAAAAUACAAAAACGUGCAGAUAAUGGAGACAGAAAAAAAAAGUACUUCUAUAUAUUAUGGAUAUUAAAGUACCGUUUGACCCGG
RNAcentral lists this long non-coding RNA (212 nucleotides) under Trifolium pratense (red clover). RNAcentral describes it as "long non-coding RNA (TPRA_LNC010462)". Lineage: Eukaryota; Viridiplantae; Streptophyta; Magnoliopsida; Fabales; Fabaceae. The record is from RNAcentral.